Molecule: long non-coding RNA, 958 nt
Organism: Mauremys reevesii (Reeves's turtle)
Lineage: Eukaryota; Metazoa; Chordata; Testudines; Geoemydidae
Exons: 2
Source: RefSeq, a predicted model, not a curated record
CAGGGGGGGCAAACCGCCAGCAGGGAAUCCACCCACCCGCCCGCCCGCGCUGGGCAGCUGUCACCCAUGGGGAGCUGCCUACCCCAGCCACCCAACGCAGUUGUUGUCUCAUCGUGGCCUGAGAGCAGCCCCCACCCCCCACUGUAACUGUGACAAGACCUCCAAUGAGUGCAAGGUAUCAGCCAGAGCCCCGGCAGCUCCCAUACAGGGCUGUGUGGUGAGCUGCCUGGGCUCGGUCUACACCCAGCUCAGACACCCCCAGGCAGGCAGGCUGACAGGCGCAAAGUGCACCUGAAGGACAAGGCACCAUUCGUGCUGUUGCAUUGACAAAUCGGCAGGCACCUGAUGACAUGGAAUAGUGCUAGAAAGCAACAGGGUUUGGGAGGAAGCAUUACUGCUGUAAAAUCUGUGGAGUCAAUGAUCCACCCUCUACAGUCUUUUGUGACUUCUCCACAGACUAUGUGGGCAAUGGUCAUAGAUCACUAUCAACAGAACUACAUGCAGCUAUCAAGGGACACAGGCUUGCAACAACUUGUAUAGCAUAGUAAGACGUAUGUUCAGAAGUCUAAUUUGACUGUCAAUAUGGUCAAUCUUCUCCUCAAGACUGCUGCUGCUGUUUCUCCUCCAGUAAAAUCCAACGGGCCCAGUCAUGAAGUAGACUGCUACAACAAAGCACAGAGGCAAGACUGCAUGCUCUGGUUCUCCUUCAUACUUCUGGAGGAUGUAUACACAUGAGAGGGCAAACAGAGCAACUCUUACAAUCCAGAAGAAGCGACCGAACAGCAUAUGUAAGAGACAGAAGAAGAAUCCAAGGAAGACGGACAAAAACCAAUAAGCAAGUAAAACAGCACCAAUCAGCAGAAGAACACGGGUAGGGUUGUUGGCAACUGCUGCAGGGCUGAAAUAAUGAGUCAGGUUGGAAGCUGAAAAAUAAAAACAAAUUUAUGAGAAAUUAAAA